GCCGCGGUGGCCUAGUGGUUAUGGUGUUCGACUGCUGAACCGAAGGUCGCGGGAUCGAAUCCCGGCCGCGGCG
Molecule: transfer RNA, 73 nt
Filed under: Rhipicephalus sanguineus (brown dog tick)
Lineage: Eukaryota; Metazoa; Arthropoda; Arachnida; Ixodida; Ixodidae
Description: transfer RNA serine (anticodon GCU)
Rfam family: tRNA
About the family: Transfer RNA (tRNA) molecules are approximately 80 nucleotides in length.
Source: Rfam by way of RNAcentral